Long non-coding RNA from Micropterus dolomieu (smallmouth bass), 1142 nucleotides. RefSeq lists it as uncharacterized. NCBI's taxonomy places the organism in Eukaryota, Metazoa, Chordata, Actinopteri, Centrarchiformes, Centrarchidae. The transcript is spliced from 5 exons. The record is from RefSeq and is a predicted model, not a curated record.
UGUCUCUGAGUCUGCAGUGAAAAAGAGGUUGCACAGCUGAAGUGGAAUGUCUUUAAUUAGGACCAGAGAGCACAGAAGAAUAUAAAAUGAAUAUGAAGCCUCAACCUCCUGUCUUACCAUAGGAGUGGAGCUGCUCAUUGUUCAGCUGAGGCGGUGUAAGCCCAUGUCGAAAUGGCUCUCCGCCAUAGAUGUUGGGGUCCAGGGCGAGUAGCUGCUGACGUGGCAGAGAGGGAUACCCCAGUAUCCCAUCCAUGCCAUGGCUGCUCUUGUUCCUGCUGCUGCUGCUGCUGCUGCUGCUGUCGGCGAGCUAUCUUUUUCAUCUGAUGCACAAAAACACACACAGUGUGUAUGCAUUUUCUCUGUGUGUUGAUGUGUGACACAGAACUUGUCCUAAAAUGCAUGAAGUCUAACCUUGGCUCUCUGGUUCUGAAACCACACCUGCACAACGCGCACUGUCAGCCCAGUCUCUGCAGCCAGUGUCUCUCUCACCUACAGGCUUAGCGGACACUUCAAAGGAGGCCUUGAAAGCACGCCGCUGCUGUGUGGUCAAGAUGGUGCGUGGACGUUUUGAACGCUUGUGCUCCUUGCCUUCAUCACCACCUUUCCCCCCGCCAGAGCCUCCUCCACCAUCCUCAUCCUCACUUUUCACUAAGCAAGAUGUCAGGUACAGUGGGAGAGUCUGUGCUGCUGGAUGCCGUCUGACACUUUUCAAAACAAUGAUAACAAGCUUCAGGCUCGUCCUUCAGCUGUCUACCUCUGGAGCUCCCACUGCAUGCACACCCACUGACCGCAUCACACACACCAAACAACCAAAACACACACACACACACACACACAUACACACACACACACCAUAUGGCCUCAAAAAUGACCAUAGAGUUGACUCAUCAAAUCAGAAACAUUAAUUAAGUAUUAACAAUGCAAUAUAUUAUGUCCAGACGGUGUAGAGCGUGGAAUUGCAGCAUUAAGUGCUGUUAAUUCACCAGAGACUGUGAACAUAAACACUUUGAGAAUGGUCCUAUUAAUCCAAAUCCAUAAUUAUAACCAUAUAAGCAGACAAAUAAAUCUGCACCAGUCAACUACAAAAAAAUUGUCAUUAAGAAUUAUUAUAAUUCUUAGCAGGGGGAAAUGGGAUCGUAUAU